Molecule: long non-coding RNA, 901 nt
Filed under: Pan troglodytes (chimpanzee)
Lineage: Eukaryota; Metazoa; Chordata; Mammalia; Primates; Hominidae
Description: long non-coding RNA NONPTRT010284
Source: RNAcentral
AGAACAUGCAUUUUAAAAUAGAACGGUAAUUUUGAGGUAAGGAAAUGUCCGUUAGAUAGGCGAGGUCUUUACAAUGUGAUCACAUGGACACAGCAGCUGCGUAAGACAGAUCCUGUCCAGUCAGAGUCAGCUCACCCCCUAGACAGAUCCUGUCCAGUCAGAGUCAGCUCACCCCCUAGACAGAUCCUGUCCAGUCAGAGUCAGCUCACCCCCUAGACAGAUCCUGUCCAGUCAGAGUCAGCUCACCCCCUAGACAGAUCCUGUCCAGUCAGAGUCAGCUCACCCCCUAGACAGAUCCUGUCCAGUCAGAGUCAGCUCACCCCCCUAGACAGAUCCUAUCCAGUCAGAGUCAGCUCACCCCUCUUCAUCUCACCUGGGCUGCCCGACAGACACGGAUCACGUCUCAGGUGAGGACGGUUGAGAGGGCGCCAGCUCCUCAGGCUUUGCCCGCUGGUGUCGUGGACAUCUCCCCACAGGAGUAUUUUGGAAUAACACUACAGAACCAGUUUUCUCAAAUGAGUUUUAAAAUAUUCAGGAAAGAAAUAAACAAGACAAAACAAGACAUCGCCCACAAAGGAAUUGACUGACCUUUCCUUGUGUUGGUAACCUUUCCAGUAAUUGGGCAAGAAAUCCACAUUUUUCCGAUGUUUUUUAUAAAGCCAUUUUUUAGCAAACCUGCAUGUAUUCCAAAAGUAAAGACAAAACAGGAUGAAUCUUGAGGAGCCAGAGAGGGGAAGGAGGAACGUUUGUUUCUUAAGGGCUUCUCUGAGGCAGGUUCCCAACUUUAUGCCUUGAUAGCUGAUUUCUCUCCCUAAUCAGCACCUUCUGUGUCAGAUCCAGGCAAGAGUUGAAAUCCGUGGGAUUCGUGGAAAAGCAUACAUUUAGGAAGUGCAUUUGGCUG